GGAGGGGAGGUCGGACUGCAGCUGCUGGAAUUCCAGCCACGGACUCGUUCCAGUGGAGGGACCUGCGGGCACGUGUGCCACCGGCGAGCCCCGGCCUAUUCCGGCGGGUCCUGGCCUCCUCGACGCUCCCCCCCGCCCCUCGUCCCUUCCCUUCCUGCCACCACCCGCCGAGCUGCCGUGUGGCCUCCGUCUGUCUCUGAAGCACAGCGGGUGCUCGUUUUCCUUUUGUGAAUGUUUGAAGUGUUUUAUACGUGGAAAAGCACGUCUUUAAGGAACAACGUGUGGGCCCCGUGUCUCCACCCUCGAGUCACUCCGAAGCCUGGAGGGAGCCCCGUCGGAGCCUGCAUUGCUGCCCCCAUGCUUCGUGGCUGUCCUUCUGGACCUUGCCGGCCUCUGCGAGCCUGGCCCCCGCGGGGUGCUCGCUGGGCCCGAGAAGCUCCCGUCUCCGCCGGACCCCGGAAGACCUUUCCAGGUUCAUUGUUGACCUGCAGCAGCGAGAGGUGGUCUUGCAGGACCGGAACAACACCAUCACCAGCAGCGUGGGCUCCCAGUGACCCCCUGAUGGUGUGGAACCCGGCGCCCAGGGGGCAGCGUGUGCGUGUCCGUGUGCUCAGGAAGGUCCCCACAGAGGAACAGAGAUCGGGAAGACCUCGCCCAGGCUGCACAGUGAGG
Molecule: non-coding RNA, 672 nt
Organism: Leptonychotes weddellii (Weddell seal)
Lineage: Eukaryota; Metazoa; Chordata; Mammalia; Carnivora; Phocidae
Source: RefSeq, a predicted model, not a curated record